UGGGAGUAGGUUCGCAAGAAUGAAACUCAAAGGAAUUAAUGGGGGCCCGCACAAGCAGUGGAGCAUGUGGUUUAAUUUGAUACAAAGCAAAGAACCUUAAGAGGGCUUGACAUGCCGCGAAUCCUCUUGAAAGAGAGGGGUGCCCUCGGGAACGCGGACACAGGUGGUGCAUGGCUGUUGUCAUCUCGUGCCGUAAGGUGUUGGGUUAAGUCUCACAAUGAGCGCCACCCUCGUGUUUAGUUGCCACUAUGAGUUUGGAACCCUGAAAAGACCGCCGGUGUUAAGCCGGAGGAAAGAGAGAAUGAGGCCAAGUCAUCAUGCCCCUUAUGCCCUGGGCGACACACGUGCUACAAUGGGCGGGACAAAGGGUCGCGAUCUCUCAAGGGUGAGCUAAAUCCAAAAACCCGUCCUCAGUUUGGAUUCCAGGCUGCAACUCGCUUGCAUGAAGCAGGAAUCGCUAGUAAUUGUCGGUCAGCCAUACGGCGGUGAAUCCGUUCCCGGGCCUUGUACAUACCGCCCGUCACACUAUAGGAGCUGGCCAUGUUUGAAGUCAUUACCCUUAACCGUAAGGAGGGUGAUGCCUAAGGCUAGGCUUGCGACUGUAGUGAAAUCGUAACAAGGUAGCCAUACUGGAAGGUGCGGCUG
Molecule: ribosomal RNA, 645 nt
Filed under: Aegilops tauschii subsp. strangulata
Lineage: Eukaryota; Viridiplantae; Streptophyta; Magnoliopsida; Poales; Poaceae
Description: rRNA SSU_rRNA_eukarya
Rfam family: Bacterial small subunit ribosomal RNA
Source: RNAcentral